GUGGGUGAUCCUCAGCAAGCUCGGUUGCCCAGCAAAAUUUGUCAAACUGAUCCAGCUCUUUCAUGUCGACAUGACAGGGGAAGUCCUAUCUGGUGGAGAGACUUCCGAUCGCUUCAACAUCUCCAAUGGCGUGAAACAAGGCUGUGUCCUCGCUCCGGUACUAUUCAACCUAUCUUUCACCCAAGUAUUACGACAUGCUGUGAUGGAUCUAGACCUGGGCGUCUACAUCAAAUACCGACUGGAUGGCUCACUAUUUGACCUUCGCCGCCUGACUGCAAAAACAAAGACAACAGAGAGACUCAUCCUGGAAGCUCUCUUCACAGAUGACUGUGCUCUCAUGGCCCACCAAGAAAAUCAUCUCCAAACCAUUGUGGACAGGUUCUCCGCCGCAACAAAACUGUUUGGCCUGACUAUCAGCCUCAGCAAAACAGAGGUGCUGUUCCAACCUGCACCAGGGAGGCCAACGAACCAGCCGUGCAUUACAAUCGAAGGCACGCAGCUUUCUAACAUCAACACUUUCAAGUACCUGGGCAGCACCAUCGCCAACGACGGGUCCCUAGACCACGAGAUUAAUGCCAGGAUCCAAAAGGCCAGCCAGGCACUUGGGCGGCUGUGCUGCAAAGUCCUCCAACACAGAGGUGUAAGCACUGCGACGAAGCUCAAAGUGUAUAACGCAGUGGUCCUCAGCUCGCUCCUGUACGGUUGUGAGACAUGGACACUAUACCAGAAGCACAUGAAACAGCUGGAGCAAUUCCACCAACUCUCUCUCCAGUCAAUCAUGAGGAUCCGAUGGCAGGACCGAAUCACCAAUCAGGAAGUCCUCGACAGAGCCAACUCCACCAGCAUCGAAGUCCUGGUCCUCAAAACCCAGCUACGAUGGUCUGGACACGUCAUCCAAAUGGACCCACAGCGAAUACCAAGACAGGUAUUCUAUGGUGAACUGUCAGCUGGACUCAGGAAACAAGGCCGACCAAAGAAAAGAUUCAAGGAUCAGCUAAAGUCCAACCUGAAGUGGGCUGGCAUUACACCAAAGCAACUAGAACUCACUGCCUCUGACAGAAGCAGCUGGCGAACCCACAUUCACCAGGCCGCCACCACCUUUGAAGAUGAGCGACAUCGACGUCUUGCCGCUGCGCGUGAACGCCGACACCAGGCCACAACCGCACCUCCCGUAACAACUGGCGUCCCAUGCCCCAUGUGCCCCAAACUCUGUGCCUCAGCCUUUGGACUCCAAAGCCACAUGAGGGUACACCGUAGAUGAAACUGCC
This is a long non-coding RNA of Monodelphis domestica (gray short-tailed opossum), 1268 nucleotides long. The record is from Ensembl. Lineage: Eukaryota; Metazoa; Chordata; Mammalia; Didelphimorphia; Didelphidae.